GUUCUCAUCGUCUAAUGGUUAGGAUGCGGCCUUCUCAAGGCUGAGAUCGGAGUUCAAUUCUCCGUGGGAAUACCA
RNAcentral lists this transfer RNA (75 nucleotides) under Candidatus Altimarinota bacterium. RNAcentral's name for it is "tRNA-Glu". It matches the Rfam family "tRNA". Rfam says of the family: Transfer RNA (tRNA) molecules are approximately 80 nucleotides in length. Lineage: Bacteria; Candidatus Altimarinota. The record is from RNAcentral.